Molecule: ribosomal RNA, 279 nt
Filed under: uncultured bacterium
Lineage: Bacteria
Description: partial 16S ribosomal RNA
Rfam family: Bacterial small subunit ribosomal RNA
Source: RNAcentral
UGCCAGCAGCCGCGGUAAUACGGAGGGUGCGAGCGUUAAUCGGAAUUACUGGGCGUAAAGCGCACGCAGGCGGUUUGUUAAGCUAGAUGUGAAAGCCCCGGGCUCAACCUGGGAUGGUCAUUUAGAACUGGCAGACUAGAGUCUUGGAGAGGGGAGUGGAAUUCCAGGUGUAGCGGUGAAAUGCGUAGAUAUAUGGAAGAACACCGGUGGCGAAGGCGGUCUUCUAGCUUAUUCCUGACGCUGAGACGCGAAAGCGUGGGGAGCAAACAGGAUUAGAUA